Molecule: transfer RNA, 64 nt
Filed under: Dipodomys ordii (Ord's kangaroo rat)
Lineage: Eukaryota; Metazoa; Chordata; Mammalia; Rodentia; Heteromyidae
Rfam family: tRNA
About the family: Transfer RNA (tRNA) molecules are approximately 80 nucleotides in length.
Source: Rfam by way of RNAcentral
GGGAAGUUGGCUCAGUGGUAGAGUGCUUGCCUUGCAUGUAUGAGGCUCUGGGUUCGAUUUCUCA